UGAGUAACCUGCCCUUAACUCUGGGAUAAGCCUGGGAAACUGGGUCUAAUACCGGAUAUGACUCCUCAUCGCAUGGUGGGGGGUGGAAAGCUUUAUUGUGGUUUGGAUGGACUCGCGGCCUAUCAGCUUGUUGGUGAGGUAAUGGCUCACCAAGGCGACGACGGGUAGCCGGCCUGAGAGGGUGACCGGCCACACUGGGACUGAGACACGGCCCAGACCUCCCGUACGGGGAGGCAG
RNAcentral lists this ribosomal RNA (237 nucleotides) under uncultured bacterium. RNAcentral's name for it is "partial 16S ribosomal RNA". It matches the Rfam family "Bacterial small subunit ribosomal RNA", at positions 118 to 351 of the family's 1533-position model. The record is from RNAcentral.